UCUGAUACCAUGUUAACAUCAAGAUUGAACGAGAGAAUCAUACAAAUUAUAGAGAGAGAAAGUAGAAAGAAGGAGGAGAGUAGGUGAGAAGUCUCUCGAAUGUCAGAGAGAGAAUUGCAUUAACCGAGAAGCAAAAGAAAGAAAAUGAAGUCCGGGGGGUCACUAAUGUCGGUGACCCCUAUAUUUAUAUUUACACAUUCGGGUCGGGUCAGUGACCCACCAGAAUAAAGAAUGGACGGGUAUGGACGGGUCACAUAUCUGGGCUCAGAUAUGACUCUCAGUAUUGGGCUCGGGAAAGGCCCAAUUUCAGACUUUAUCAUCAUUGCC
This 327-nucleotide long non-coding RNA is filed under the name Nicotiana benthamiana. RNAcentral describes it as "long non-coding RNA (NBEN_LNC039604)". Lineage: Eukaryota; Viridiplantae; Streptophyta; Magnoliopsida; Solanales; Solanaceae. The record is from RNAcentral.